AAAGAAAACAUGGUACAUAUACGACAUGGAAUACUAUGCAGCCAUAAGAAAGAGUGAGAUCCUGUCUUUUGUGGGAACAUGGAUAGAACUGGAGGCCAUUAGCCUUAGCAAACUAAUGCAGGAAUAGAAAACCAAAUACUGCAUGUUCUCACUUAUAAGUGGGAGCUAAAUGAUGAGAACUCACAGACACAAAGAAGAGAACAAUAGCCUACUUGAGGGUAGAGGAUGGGAGGAGGGAGAGGAGCAGAAAAAGUAACUAUUGGGUACUAGGCUUAGUACCUGGGUGACAAUCUGUACAACAAACCCCCAUGACAUGAGUUUACCUAUAUAACAAACUUGCACAUGUACCCCCAAACCUAAAAUAAAAGUUUUUUAAAAAGCUCAACUCUCUCAAUAAGAAGACGAGGCAAUUAAGAAAUGGGCAAAAGAUUUGAACACUUUACUAAAGAAAAUAUAUGGAUAGCAAAUAAGCAAAAGGUCCUCUACAUGAUUAGUCAUUAGAGAUUGCAAAUUAAAACUGCAAUGAGGUAUCACUACAUACCUAUUAGAAUGCACCAAUUAAGAAGACCAAGUGUUGGCAAAGAUGUGGAGAAAAUAGAACUCUCAUAUACUGCUAGUGGGAAUGCAAAAAUGACACAACUACUGUUGAAGCAAUUUGGAAGUUCCUUUACAAAUUAAUACAUCUACCAUAUGAUCCAGCCAUUCCACUUCUAGUUAUUUACCCAAGAUAAAUGAAAACAAAUGUCCAUAAAAAGAUUAAUACACAAAUGUUCAUAGCAGCUUUAUACAGCCCCAAAUUGAAAAGAACCCCAAAGUCCAUCAAUAGGUAAAUGUUACAUAUCUGUACAAUAGAAUAUUACUCAGCAAUAAAAAGGAAUAAACUAUUGCUACAUGUUACAAUUUGGAUGAUCUCAAAAUAAUUAUGCUUAGUGUAGGGAGCCAGACAAGCCAGGCACCGGUGGCUCACACCUGUAAUCCCAGCACUUUGGGUUGGGUGGAUCACUUGAGGUCAGGAGUUUGAGACCAGCUUGGCCAAUAUGGUGAGGCCCCAUCUCUACUAAAAAUACAAAAACUAGCCGGGCGUGGUGGCGUGUGCCUGUAAUCUCAGAUACUAGGGAGGCUGAGGCAGGAGAAUACUUGAAUCCAGGAGGCAGAGGUUGCAGUGAGCGGAGAUUGCACCAGUGCACUCCAGCCUGGGCAACAGAGCAAGACUCCCUCUCAAAAAAAAAAAAAAAAAAGAAGAAGAAGAAGCCAGACAAAAGAGAGUGCAUACUGUAUGAUUCGAUGCCAUUUAGAUCAAAUUCUGGGAACCGCAAACUAAUCUAUAGUAACAGAAAGCAGAAAAGUGAUUGCCUGGGUAUGGGAAAAAUGACAGAUAAGUUCUUGAUCUUAACUACAGUGAGAAUCCAUGGAUAGAGCUGUUUGAUUUCGCAAAUAAAAACAUAGAGUGGCCAGUUAAAUUUGAAUUUCAGAUGAAUAAAUUUUUUUAGUAUGAAUAUGUACCAUGCAAAUGUUUGGGACAUACUUAUACUAAAAAUGUUUCAUUGUUUAUCUGAAAUCCGAAUUUAACUGGGCAUUCUGUACUU
RNAcentral lists this long non-coding RNA (1586 nucleotides) under Homo sapiens (human). RNAcentral's name for it is "HSALNT0080104". The stretch from base 1484 to 1536 matches the Rfam family "mir-1302 microRNA precursor family". Lineage: Eukaryota; Metazoa; Chordata; Mammalia; Primates; Hominidae. The record is from RNAcentral.